UGAAUUCAUCUCCGGGGGUAGAGCACUGUUUCGGCUAGGGGGCCAUCCCGGCUUACCAACCCGAUGCAAACUGCGAAUACCGGAGAAUGUUAUCACGGGAGACACACGGCGGGUGCUAACGUCCGUCGUGAAGAGGGAAACAACCCAGACCGCCAGCUAAGGUCCCAAAGUCAUGGUUAAGUGGGAAACGAUGUGGGAAGGCCCAGACAGCCAGGAUGUUGGCUUAGAAGCAGCCAUCAUUUAAAGAAAGCGUAAUAGCUCACUGGUCGAGUCGGCCUGCGCGGAAGAUGUAACGGGGCUAAACCAUGCACCGAAGCUGCGGCAGCGACACUGUGUGUUGUUGGGUAGGGGAGCGUUCUGUAAGCCUGUGAAGGUGUGUCGUGAGGCAUGCUGGAGGUAUCAGAAGUGCGAAUGCUGACAUAAGUAACGAUAAAGCGGGUGAAAAGCCCGCUCGCCGGAAGACCAAGGGUUCCUGUCCAACGUUAAUCGGGGCAGGGUGAGUCGACCCCUAAGGCGAGGCCGAAAGGCGUAGUCGAUGGGAAACGGGUUAAUAUUCCCGUACUUGGUGUUACUGCGAAGGGGGGACGGAGAAGGCUAUGUUGGCCGGG
This 608-nucleotide ribosomal RNA is filed under the name Salmonella enterica. RNAcentral describes it as "partial 23S ribosomal RNA". It matches the Rfam family "Bacterial large subunit ribosomal RNA", at positions 885 to 1495 of the family's 2925-position model. Lineage: Bacteria; Pseudomonadati; Pseudomonadota; Gammaproteobacteria; Enterobacterales; Enterobacteriaceae. The record is from RNAcentral.